GUGGGGAAUAUUGGACAAUGGGCGAAAGCCUGAUCCAGCCAUGCCGCGUGUGUGAAGAAGGUCUUCGGAUUGUAAAGCACUUUAAGUUGGGAGGAAGGGCAGUAAGUUAAUACCUUGCUGUUUUGACGUUACCGACAGAAUAAGCACCGGCUAACUUCGUGCCAGCAGCCGCGGUAAUACGAAGGGUGCAAGCGUUAAUCGGAAUUACUGGGCGUAAAGCGCGCGUAGGUGGUUUUGUAAGUUGUAGGUGAAAUCACCGGGCUCAACCUGGGAACUGCCUCAAAAACUGCAUGACUAGAGUACGGUAGAGGGUAGUGGAAUGUCCUGUGUAGCGGUGAAAUGCGUAGAUAUAGGAAGGAACACCAGUGGCGAAGGCGACUACCUGGACUGAUACUGACACUGAGGUGCGAAAGCGUGGGGAGCAAACAGGAUUAGAUACCCGGGUAGUCC
RNAcentral lists this ribosomal RNA (450 nucleotides) under uncultured bacterium. RNAcentral describes it as "bacterial SSU rRNA". It matches the Rfam family "Bacterial small subunit ribosomal RNA", at positions 354 to 796 of the family's 1533-position model. The record is from RNAcentral.